GUAGGUGGCAAGCGGUUGUCCGGGAAUUAUUGGGGCGUAAAGCGCGCGCAGGCGGUUCGUUUAAGUCUGAUGUGAAAGCCCACGGGCUCAACCGUGGAGGGUCAUUGGAAACUGGAGAACUUGAGUACAGAAGAGGAAAGCGGAAUUCCACGUGUAGCGGUGAAAUGCGUAGAGAUGUGGAGGAACACCAGUGGCGAAGGCGGCUUUCUGGUCUGUAACUGACGCUGAGGCGCGAAAGCGUGGGGAGCAAACAGGAUUAGAUACCCUGGUAGUCCACGCCGUAAACGAUGAGUGCUAAGUGUUAGGGGGUUUCCGCCCCUUAGUGCUGCAGCUAACGCAUUAAGCACUCCGCCUGGGGAGUACGGCCGCAAAGGCUG
RNAcentral lists this ribosomal RNA (377 nucleotides) under uncultured organism. RNAcentral describes it as "partial 16S ribosomal RNA". It matches the Rfam family "Bacterial small subunit ribosomal RNA", at positions 527 to 896 of the family's 1533-position model. The record is from RNAcentral.